Molecule: non-coding RNA, 90 nt
Filed under: Desulfosporosinus sp.
Lineage: Bacteria; Bacillati; Bacillota; Clostridia; Eubacteriales; Desulfitobacteriaceae
Also listed under: 1 other name
Description: c-di-GMP sequence
Rfam family: c-di-GMP-I riboswitch aptamer
About the family: GEMM was predicted in a large-scale screen for bacterial structured RNA regulatory elements. Genes associated with GEMM are involved in a diverse array of functions, including chemotaxis regulation, signal transduction, secretion and chitin.
Source: RNAcentral
CAGUGAUAAGGGCAAACCUGUCAAAAGACAGGGACGCAAAGCCAUAGGGUCUAAGGUGCUUAUCAGCACUAUGACAGCCUGGCUGCCGCG